This 360-nucleotide ribosomal RNA is filed under the name uncultured Pseudomonadota bacterium. Its description in RNAcentral is "bacterial SSU rRNA". It matches the Rfam family "Bacterial small subunit ribosomal RNA", at positions 30 to 412 of the family's 1533-position model. Lineage: Bacteria; Pseudomonadati; Pseudomonadota. The record is from RNAcentral.
AGCGAACGCUGGGGCAUGCUUAACACAUGCAAGUCGCACGGGCGCAGCAAUGCGUCAGUGGCGGACGGGUGAGGAGCGCGUAGGAACGUGUCCUGUGGUGGGGGAUAACGCUGGGAAACUGGCGCUAAUACCGCAUGAUCUGCUGAGGCAGAAAGCCGAGAGGCGCCAUGGGAGUGGCCUGCGUCCGAUUAGGUAGUUGGUGGGGUAAGGGCCUACCAAGCCUGUGAUCUGUAGCUGGUCUGAGAGGAUGAUCAGCCACACUGGAACUGAGAGACGGUCCAGACUCCUACGGGAGGCAGCAGUGGGGAAUUUUCCGCAAUGGGCGAAAGCCUGACGGAGCAAGACCGCGUGGGGGAGGAA